UACGGGGGGGGCAAGCGUUGUUCGGAAUUACUGGGCGUAAAGGGUUCGUAGGCGGGUCUUUAAGUCAGGGGUGAAAUCCUGGAGCUCAACUCCAGAACUGCCUUUGAUACUGAAGAUCUUGAGUUCGGGAGAGGUGAGUGGAACUGCGAGUGUAGAGGUGAAAUUCGUAGAUAUUCGCAAGAACACCAGUGGCGAAGGCGGCUCACUGGCCCGAUACUGACGCUGAGGCACGAAAGCGUGGGGAGCAAACAGG
Molecule: ribosomal RNA, 253 nt
Filed under: uncultured bacterium
Lineage: Bacteria
Description: partial 16S ribosomal RNA
Rfam family: Bacterial small subunit ribosomal RNA
Source: RNAcentral